Gallus gallus (chicken) is the source of this 2597-nucleotide long non-coding RNA. The record is from Ensembl. Lineage: Eukaryota; Metazoa; Chordata; Aves; Galliformes; Phasianidae.
UUUUUUUUUUUUUUUAAUAAUAAGUAUGUGCAUUUUUAUAGGGAGAUAAAUUGACAAUUUAUUGUGUAUAACUUCUGAUCAAUUAUUAAUCGUUAGUGUCAACAACAGGGUUAUAAUUACCUUCGCUUAUUUAAAGGAAUAUUUAUUUUUUCGUCUCUCUGAUCUGGUAAUUAGUUAAUGCUCUGGAGUAAUGAAUUCAAAGCUGAUUUGAUAAUGAUUGAGACAGUUUUUUCCCCUCUCUUUUGGCAGCCCCUAUGGCGGGGGGGGUCGCGUGUCUUCCCCCCCCCCCCCCCCCCCCCUCUUUCCCGUUUGCAGAAGAGUCCACGCGAAGGCAAAUCGCGGUGCCGUUCACUUUUCAGACCAUAAAUAACGAUUCUGGGAGGAAAAGGGCGAAAUGACAAACAAAUAGAGCGCAGCUGGGAUGAAUAAGGCCGAUCAAAGUUAGAGGGGGCCGGCGCUCCUCGCAGCCGCAGUAGGUCUAAGUCCCAUAAAGGUGCCAGCAACCCUUACCUCUCUCCCUGAGAUCAAGGGAGAGAGCGAGCGGGGCAUUUUAACCCCCUGACAUCUUCUCGCGAGUGGAGGAGGGAAGAAAAAAAGGGGGGGGGGGGGGGGGGGGGGAAGAGGCUGAGGAAAGCAGGGGGAUGUGUUUAGGGGAGUUAUCAGUGCUUUCACGCUCACCUAGACAAGGGAAUGGGGUGGGGGGACCCAUCUGGAGCCCACGCAGCCUCAAGCGUAGGAUGCGCGGGGCUCGCUGCGCUCCUUGGAGCGGGAGAAGCAUAUCGUUGCGCGCUUAAACGCUCAGCCCUUGGGAUAGGGAAGCGAGAAAUUAUAAUUCUUUUCUUUUUCUUUUCUUUCUUUUCCCUCCUUGCGGGAGCUCCAUUACGAUGGGCAGCCCGCAGGGACCGCGGCUGUGCCUGGCUCCCAGGUACAGGGCGUGGGUAACCCCUCCCUCGGGCCUGGGAACCGGCAGCCAAGGGCGAGUGCCCCCCCCCCCCCCCCCCGACCACCUCUCCCGACACGCGUGGGAUGCUGAGCCGAGGAAGGAGCUGCACCUCUCCCCUGCCUGCCCCCUCGCUUCGCUUUCCAGGCUUCCACCUAACGCAGACGAGGUCUCGGAGCCAAAGAGCGCUUUUCGUUUUUAGAGCGGCGAGGCUCAUUUCGCGGCAGACCUGAGUGAAGUGGAGUGUGUGUAUCUAAUAUAUAUAAUAGGUGUAAGCUGUACAUAUAAAAUCUUUCCCCCGUGCAACAAAAAGUGCAGUGGGAAUUGUAGCGCGAGAUGCGAGUUCUACAAUUAAUUCAUCCUGACAGGUUUGACAUCGCCCGGCUCCCUUUUUCCUGCAACUCUGUCCGCAAAUGAAUGCCGCUUCCAGAGUGUAUGUUUUAAUUUGUCACAUCAAGGCAAUAAAAGGCAGCAAUAUAUACUUAAGCCAGUUAACAUUGUAAUAACAGGUUUAAAGGAGCAAUUAAAUGGUAGUGAGUCGCAUGUCUGACUUUCUAUAGGCAUUACCACAUCAAUGGUACCUUUUAGACUGGCUAUAACUUAGCAUGAUUGUCUCAAUUAGUUUAGCUACAUGAUAGUUAUUGUGAACUCUUUGUGAGUAAUCAAUGUUACGCAAGCUUAUGGGAAGGAGUCCGUAAUAGGUGUGAGCACCCGCUAACUAACGGGGACCUCUCAUUUCCAAAAAAACACCUUUCUCUUUUCGACCCCCCCGCCCCUUCAUUUCCUUCCCCCCAGCCCUAAAGAUAGAAACGGUUAAUUUGAAGUCUUAUGAAUCUGCUUCCGCGAUCGGUGUUGCCGAACGCAGAUUUAUAGGCAUAUAACUACUUCUGCCGAGGCCGAUAAACGACGCAGUCCCUUCGGUCCAGUGAGGGACCCCUGCUACAUCUCUCAUUUCUUUAAGUGUCUUUCGUCCCAGCCGCAAAUAGCCCCGAGGGACGCUUACACGCAGUGAUUUGUGUGGGUACAGCCCUAGCGGGCUCCCGGGUUCACCUCGUUGACAUCGGAGAGAGCGCGGAGCCCCGCGAGCGCGUGUAAACCCCAACCGGGGUGCGGGGGGAGAGUGGCGGGGCCGCAAAGCCGGGAUGGGAAUGAGGAGUAACGCGGGGAGAGAGGUCCUUGUCGGAGCCGCCGGCCGCUUAGGAACUUGGAUAAUUCAUCUCCACCUCCGGACUCCUUCAUUAAGUACCGAGCCGCGGGUGGCUGAUGCAAAAGAGAGGUCUGCAAAUUUGGCGAGGCUUGUGUGAGCUGCUUCAAAACACGACCAAGUUUGUAAUGUUUUCUGUCAAGAAAGAAAAAAAAAAAAAAAAAAAGAAAAGAAAAGAAAGAAAGGAAAAAAGAGAGAGCGAGGGAGCGUGUACCGUUAAAAUUGAAGAUAAACAUGACACAGGGAAAUUUCUGUUGGUGAAGUUAUUCUCAUUAGUCCUAACAGUGUCUCACCAUUAGACAGGGCUGGAGUCAACCUCAGUCUCAGGAUUGCAGAUCUGCAAGCGCUUUUUUUUUUUUUUUUUUUUUUUUUUUUUUGCAUGUACAUUACAUUUCUGUCAUGCUUUGCAGCAUAACACGAUAUCCCCAAAGAACCCAAAAAAGAAAAAAAAAA